This 497-nucleotide ribosomal RNA is filed under the name uncultured bacterium. RNAcentral's name for it is "partial 16S ribosomal RNA". It matches the Rfam family "Bacterial small subunit ribosomal RNA", at positions 28 to 507 of the family's 1533-position model. The record is from RNAcentral.
GAUGAACGCUGGCGGCGUGCCUAAUACAUGCAAGUCGAGCGAACGGACGAGAAGCUUGCUUCUCUGAUGUUAGCGGCGGACGGGUGAGUAACACGUGGAUAACCUCCCUAUAAGACUGGGAUAACUUCGGGAAACCGUAGCUAAUACCGGAUAAUCUUUUGAACCGCAUGGUUCAAAAGUGAAAGACGGUCUUGCUGUCACUUAUAGAUGGAUCCGCGCUGCAUUAGCUAGUUGGUAAGGUAACGGCUUACCAAGGCAACGAUGCAUAGCCGACCUGAGAGGGUGAUCGGCCACACUGGAACUGAGACACGGUCCAGACUCCUACGGGAGGCAGCAGUAGGGAAUCUUCCGCAAUGGGCGAAAGCCUGACGGAGCAACGCCGCGUGAGUGAUGAAGGUCUUCGGAUCGUAAAACUCUGUUAUUAGGGAAGAACAUAUGUGUAAGUAACUGUGCACAUCUUGACGGUACCUAAUCAGAAAGCCACGGCUAACUACGUG